Molecule: ribosomal RNA, 908 nt
Filed under: uncultured Enterobacterales bacterium
Lineage: Bacteria; Pseudomonadati; Pseudomonadota; Gammaproteobacteria; Enterobacterales
Description: bacterial SSU rRNA
Rfam family: Bacterial small subunit ribosomal RNA
Source: RNAcentral
AGAGUUUGAUCCUGGCUCAGAUUGAACGCUGGCGGCAGGCCUAACACAUGCAAGUCGAACGGUAACAGGAAACAGCUUGCUGUUUCGCUGACGAGUGGCGGACGGGUGAGUAAUGUCUGGGAAACUGCCUGAUGGAGGGGGAUAACUACUGGAAACGGUAGCUAAUACCGCAUAACGUCGCAAGACCAAAGAGGGGGACCUUCGGGCCUCUUGCCAUCGGAUGUGCCCAGAUGGGAUUAGCUAGUAGGUGGGGUAACGGCUCACCUAGGCGACGAUCCCUAGCUGGUCUGAGAGGAUGACCAGCCACACUGGAACUGAGACACGGUCCAGACUCCUACGGGAGGCAGCAGUGGGGAAUAUUGCACAAUGGGCGCAAGCCUGAUGCAGCCAUGCCGCGUGUAUGAAGAAGGCCUUCGGGUUGUAAAGUACUUUCAGCGGGGAGGAAGGGAGUAAAGUUAAUACCUUUGCUCAUUGACGUUACCCGCAGAAGAAGCACCGGCUAACUCCGUGCCAGCAGCCGCGGUAAUUGUCCGGAAUGACUGGGCGUACAGGGUGCGCAGGUGGUGUGGUAGGUGACGUGUGACAGCGGACGGCUCAACCGUGCGUGGCCGCGACAAACCGCCAGACUCGAGACCUGGAGAGGGAAGUGGAAUUCCCGGUGGAGCGGUGAAAUGCGUAGAGAUCGGGAGGAACACCAGGGGCGAAGGCGGCUUCCUGGCCAGGAACUGACACUGAGGCACGAAAGCGUGGGGAGCAAACGGGAUUAGAUACCCCGGUAGUCCACGCUGUAAACGAUGUGGAGCCGGUGCGCGUGGGGGAUUGGCCCUGGGCGUGCCUGAGCAUACGCGAUGACUCCACCGCCUGGGGACUACGGUCGCAAGACUAAAACUCAAAUGAAUUGACGGGGG